AACGUAGGUUCCGAGCGUUAUCCGGAUUUACUGGGCGUAAAGCGCGUUCAGGCGGUUCGGCAAGUCGGGCAUGAAAUCUCUCGGCUCAACCGGGAGAGGUUGUCCGAUACUGCUGGACUUGAGGGCAGUAGAGGGUGGUGGAAUUCCGGGUGUAGUGGUGAAAUGCGUAGAUAUCCGGAGGAACACCAGUGGCGAAAGCGGCCACCUGGACUGCACCUGACGCUGACACGCGAAAGCUAGGGGAGCGAACGGG
Molecule: ribosomal RNA, 253 nt
Filed under: uncultured bacterium
Lineage: Bacteria
Description: partial 16S ribosomal RNA
Rfam family: Bacterial small subunit ribosomal RNA
Source: RNAcentral